Marmota monax (woodchuck) is the source of this 987-nucleotide long non-coding RNA. RefSeq lists it as uncharacterized. The record is from RefSeq and is a predicted model, not a curated record. NCBI's taxonomy places the organism in Eukaryota, Metazoa, Chordata, Mammalia, Rodentia, Sciuridae. The transcript has 3 exons.
UCCAUGGAUGACACUGAAAAGGCCAGAUGAGUGUUCCUUAACCUGCCUUGCAGCUGGUGCCCACAGUCCAGAGUGCAAUGGUGCAGCAGUGGGGAGCCCACCGAUCUGCUGAUCAGAAUAUUAAUGUUGAUGUGAAACAGGUGGUCCAGCCAUUUAACCUGCGUUCUGAUAAUUAGACCAUUAUCGCUCUAUCAAGGUGUUUGACACAUGCACAGAAUGGCUCAGUGACAUUCUCAAUCUGGCUGGCUGUGCUUUCCACCAUGGGGUAAAAUCAAGUCAUAACCAAGACUGGAGACUAGCAAGCCAAAUAUGAGCAAGUGACUAAGGACAAGGUCAACACAAGCAAUAAACUUAAAACAAUGCAAAUCACAUCAUUCCACUUCCCUGCCUAAAACCCUACAAGGUUUUUAACCCUUGUUUUAACAAGGGUUAAGAUGCAUUUGAAACUCUUUUCUUUUAAUUUUAUUUUUUAAAAAUUUUUAAAAAUUUUGUUUUAAUUAGUUACACAUUGUGGUGAGCCGCUUCUGCCGUUUCUGCAGAUUAUGGUCGCCAUUACAAGAUGACGCUGGCUCCGCUGUGGUCUGUGACAAACAACUUCUUAUCUGGGAAAGUUGGCACAUGAUUUUUCACCACCCUGUGAGAAAGCUCCACGCGGCAGCUUUGCAUUGGGGCUUGGGAUGCUUUAUUAAGGCUGGGAGGGGCAUCCGAGAGGAAGAAGAAGAAAUAUCCAGGGCCUGAAUAAACUGUUGAAAGAAGAUUCUCGAGUUGCGUCUUCCUUGCGGGCAAGGGGUCGCGACAAGUGGUGCCGAAACCCGGGAACCAGAACUUUCAACAGUCAGGGGUGGUGCACCGGUUAGUCCCAGGUAAGUGGGAUCCGCGAUCAAAGCGGGGUUAGUCCCUAGUAAGUGGGAUCCGCGACCAAAGCGGGACAGCUCCUCUGUAAUGAAAGAGAGAGCCUUACAUUUUAUUGCAGCUGCACUGUGUACU